This 226-nucleotide ribosomal RNA is filed under the name uncultured bacterium. RNAcentral describes it as "partial 16S ribosomal RNA". It matches the Rfam family "Bacterial small subunit ribosomal RNA", at positions 109 to 334 of the family's 1533-position model. The record is from RNAcentral.
AGUAACGCGUGAGGAACCUGCCUCAAAGAGGGGACAACAGUUGGAAACGACUGCUAAUACCGCAUAAGCCCACGGCUCGGCAUCGAGCAGAGGGAAAAGGAGCAAUCCGCUUUGAGAUGGCCUCGCGUCCGAUUAGCUAGUUGGUGAGGUAAUGGCCCACCAAGGCGACGAUCAGUAGCCGACCUGAGAGGGUGACCGGCCACAUUGGGACUGAGACACGGCCCAA